This 354-nucleotide long non-coding RNA is filed under the name Apteryx owenii (little spotted kiwi). RNAcentral's name for it is "lncRNA (ENSAOWG00000016694.1)". The record is from RNAcentral. Lineage: Eukaryota; Metazoa; Chordata; Aves; Apterygiformes; Apterygidae.
AAGGAUUCCCAGGAGCACCAGGAAACAAAGGGGACAUGGGAAUUCCAGGUCCCAAAGGACAGAAAGGAUCUCCAGGCUUUCCAGGACCAUCAGGUGACUCUGGGCAAGUAGGCUCUGGUGGCUCUCCAGGUGACAAAGGAGACCCCGGGUACCCAGUUCCUGGGCCUCCAGGAGAACCCGGUCCAAAGGGAGACCCGGGUCCCCCAGGAGGUUUAGGCAGCAAAGGAGAAAAAGGAUCCCAAGGCCAGCCAGGACAUACAGGAGUACCAGGACCAGAUGGGAUCAGAGGGGAAUCUGGAGGCACAGGAAUCCCAGGGGAAGAAGGACUUCCUGGAGGUGUUGGGGCUAAAGGAC